Molecule: non-coding RNA, 99 nt
Filed under: Pycnococcus provasolii
Lineage: Eukaryota; Viridiplantae; Chlorophyta; Pseudoscourfieldiophyceae; Pseudoscourfieldiales; Pycnococcaceae
Source: RNAcentral
ACCGCCACCACCACCUCCUCCUCCCCCUCCCCCAAGCGCAAGGUGACGCUGCUCGUGCCGUGGCUGUCCGCCUCCGAUCAGGAGCGCAUCUACCCCAAC